CUCAUGGAUUGGCUCUCUCUGCAGGGCAGCUCCCCUUGUGAUUUCUGCUGCAGCUCCGUCAGUCAUGUGAAAACCUAAGAAAUUACAGGUAAAAAAAAGGGAUGUGCUCAUUAUUAAACUGAGCACAGACGAGCAAGAAGAGAUGGUCACGGCUGCUCAAUGAAGCACAUGAUUAUUGGAAAAUGUUGGGAUGCUGAGUAACAAGGAUGCACUGUAAGUAAGAAGGGUGGGCUGAACAGGAGAGAGAAAAUGAAAACAGAGGACAAGCUCCCAAAACCGCAAUCGGACAAGUUUUCUUUUAAAAGGCAUCUUCUCUGCCUGCGAGACCAUCAAUAAUGGAAAAGGAUUUUUCCAGUGCUUUUUAGGCCAGAGAGAGAGAGGGAAGGAAGGAAGAAAAGAGCAAGACAAAGAGGAAGCAAGCCAGUGGAACAGUGAAUGCUGUAAUGCAAAGUUCUGGAGACUAAAAGUCUGAAAUCAAGCUGUCAGCAGGGUCAUGCCCGCUUCCUUAGAAGGCUGUAGAGAAGAAUCCUUCUUUGCUGCUCCUGGCUUCAAGUGGCUGUCACAAUCCUUGGCUUAUAGCUGCAUCACUCCCGUUUCUGCCCCUGGCUUCACAUGGCUUCUUCCCUCUGUGUGUGCUUGUGUUUCUCCAAAUUCCCCUCGUCUUACAAAGACAUUGGUAAUUGGAUUAACACUCACCCUGAUCAGCUUAUUGAAUUUGAAUCAGCUGCUGGAUGCCGUUGUUUUUUCUUGGGAACGUAUUUAUCCCAUUGUGGGCAUGUUCCUGUCUCCAACUCUCCGGCACUUUUUCUUUGCUCUUUAUUGAGAAGUCAACUUUGUGCUGAAGAAGUUUCUGUUUUCCAUAUGAUUGAUCUUCAGGUGGUGGGGGAGCCCUCACUGAAACAGUGGUUUUAAAAAAAUUACACCCUUUCAUCUUUGGUCUCAUCUUGUGGAAGAAAGAAGAACUGAGCUAUUCUACCAACUAUUGUGAACUGUUCAAAUUUCCUCUGGGGAGAAAAACCAGUUGCUUUCAAAGCUCUGAGGAGUAUCAAAAAAUGCUCCUAGGCUAAAUACAGUAAAUAAAAGGCAAUGUGGACUUUCAAAAGACUGCUCCAGGGGCACACGAGAAAGUUUUAGCUGGUGUGAGAAUCACUGAAACAGAAACCUGGGGCAGGUGGGGGGAAGGAACAGAUGAAAUCAGAAAGAAUAUCUAUAAAUUUAGCCUAUAUUUAUAGGGAUACCUAUACUCAUGGUCUUGGUGAAAUGAAACACUGAAAGAAAAUAUGUGCAAUCUCUUUUUAGAGUUUGUGACCUUGCAAAUUAAAAAUGGAAUUUACUGCUUUGUGCAUUAGAUUUAUUAAUAUGGACUUGUUCUUACAUAGCUCUUUAAUCUGUCUUUAUAGGUCAUUAUUUUUUACAACAGGCUCCUACCUUAUCUUUUGGAUUCUAGACUCACUGCUUUAAAUCUAUUUUGUGAGCAUGCUCACACGCAUGCGCGCACACACACACACACACACAUACAAUUAAAUACUGAAGACAUUUUUUGCCCUGGAGGGGGACUUCAAUCACCACCUUCUGAGAGUUGUCCUUGUGUAGUUUUUCUUUCUCAUUGGAUCGGGUUUGUUCUGUGUAACCAACAGUGUGUAACAGAAGUGAUGGUGUGCUGCUUAUGAAAUUAGAUAUUAAAAGACUAGCGUUUCCUUUCUGGAUGUAUUUUUGUUCCUUACCUCCCUCCCUCCAUCUCUUCUCUUCUCUUCUCUUCUCUCUCUCUCUCUCUCUCUCUCUCUCUCUCUCUCUCUCUCUCUCUCUCUCUCUCUCUCUCCACUCACUGCUUCCUUUGGGGAAAGUCAGCUACUACAUAGUGAACACACUCA
Molecule: long non-coding RNA, 1871 nt
Filed under: Callithrix jacchus (white-tufted-ear marmoset)
Lineage: Eukaryota; Metazoa; Chordata; Mammalia; Primates; Cebidae
Description: lncRNA (ENSCJAG00000085103.1)
Source: RNAcentral